UACGUAGGGGUGCAAGCGUUAAUCGGAAUUACUGGGCGUAAAGCGUGCGCAGGCGGUUUUGUAAGUCUGUCGUGAAAUCCCCGGGCUCAACCUGGGAAUUGCGAUGGAGACUGCAAGGCUAGAAUCUGGCAGAGGGGGGUAGAAUUCCACGUGUAGCAGUGAAAUGCGUAGAGAUGUGGAGGAACACCGAUGGCGAAGGCAGCCCCCUGGGUCAAGAU
RNAcentral lists this ribosomal RNA (218 nucleotides) under uncultured bacterium. RNAcentral describes it as "partial 16S ribosomal RNA". It matches the Rfam family "Bacterial small subunit ribosomal RNA", at positions 524 to 740 of the family's 1533-position model. The record is from RNAcentral.